CACAACUUCCAAGUGAAUAGAUCCUGUUGGUCUAAACUGAUUGAUUGAUUCUCAGUUUAAUGGUUGUUCUCUCCAAAACAUGUCAGCAUCAAUUCAUUCUAUAAGUCAUCACAUGCAAAAUAGUCUAUUCAAUCGUCAAAAUAACUCAAGAACCUAAUACCAUGAAUCCAUGAAUACCAUAUAUGAAUCUCUUGGAACAUUUGAUAAAUUGAUUAAUUGACAGUCAGGUUAAUCUACAGCUUGACUAACGAAGGAGGAGUUUCACACAUCUCAGAUGACCAAUCAAACAAUAUGUUUAGUUACCUGACAGGUGCUGUCCACGAUUGUGAAUGCUGCCAAAGAUGUAUAUAUAGAGCUUGACCAGGACUAGUACAAUUUCUGAACAUGGAGGCACCUGGCCAAGUAAAUGAACAAGGGCAACUGCCUGCUCAAGGAAGAGGAAGAAGAAGAGGAGGAGGAGUAAGGGUGCGUGGUGGUAGAAUAGGGGGAAGAGGUCGAGGAGCAAGAAGACACCAUGCCGUUCCAGAUGAAAUUCGGGCCACACUUAUAGACCAUGUUAUCAACCAUCGGCUCACAAUGGCAGAGGCAGGUUGCAGAGUGCAGCCUAAUGUGCCCCGCUCACAGUCUCCUCCAUCAUCCAAACCUUUCGCAGGAAAAACAGGAUUGGACAAUAACCUUGCAUGGGUGGCAGAGGAAAGCUUCUCAAUGACCAACAAGAACAAAACAUCUAUAACAUGGAGAUGGCAAAUAAUGCCAUCACUGAGACAGAUACGCACUGCAAUCACACAAGACAAUGCGAUAUUCUAAAAUGUCAACCCUAUAAGCAUCUCCACAAUAAACUGGAUAUUGAACAAGCAUCAGAUGACCAUGAAGCAACUUUACAGGUUACCAUUUGAGAGGAACUGUGGUAGAGUGAAAGAGCUGCGGUACCAGUAUGUACAUAAUAAUGGCAUUGCAAGGAAAUGAGACCCCUCACAUCCUCGUGUUUGUGGAUGAAGCUGGCUUCAACUUGGCCAAGGGCCGAAGACAUGGCUGUAAUAUUACUGGCCACCGGGCCACGGUGGAUGUCCCAGGCCACCGUGGGGGCAAUAUAACUAUGCGUGCUGCCAUUUCUGAGAAUGGUGUGGCCAAUCACAUCCCCAGUCUUGGCCCAUACAAUACACAGAAGCUCCUCAUCUUCUUGGACUGCCUUCAUUCUAAUUUGA
Molecule: long non-coding RNA, 1205 nt
Organism: Mugil cephalus (flathead mullet)
Lineage: Eukaryota; Metazoa; Chordata; Actinopteri; Mugiliformes; Mugilidae
Exons: 3
Source: RefSeq, a predicted model, not a curated record